This 292-nucleotide ribosomal RNA is filed under the name uncultured bacterium. RNAcentral's name for it is "partial 16S ribosomal RNA". It matches the Rfam family "Bacterial small subunit ribosomal RNA", at positions 505 to 796 of the family's 1533-position model. The record is from RNAcentral.
GUGUCAGCAGCCGCGGUAAUACGAGGGGUGCAAACGUUAUUCGGAAUCACUGGGCGUAAAGGGUGUGUAGACGGCAAAGUAAGUCAAUUAUUAAAUCUUCUGGCUCAACCAGAAAUCUGUAAUUGAGACUGCUUAGCUUGAGGAUGGAAGAGAGAAGUGGAAUUCUUGGAGUAGCGGUAAAAUGCGUAGAUAUCAAGAGGAACACCGAUGGCGAAGGCAGCUUCUUGGUCCAUUUCUGACGUUGAGACACGAAAGCGUGGGGAGCAAACAGGAUUAGAUACCCUGGUAGUCC